GGUGAGGUGGGUGAGUGGCUGAAACCACCAGUUUGCUAAACUGACGUACGGGAAACUGUACCGGGGGUUCGAAUCCCCCCCUCACCG
RNAcentral lists this transfer RNA (87 nucleotides) under Prevotellaceae bacterium. RNAcentral's name for it is "tRNA-Ser". It matches the Rfam family "tRNA". From Rfam's summary of the family: Transfer RNA (tRNA) molecules are approximately 80 nucleotides in length. The record is from RNAcentral. Lineage: Bacteria; Pseudomonadati; Bacteroidota; Bacteroidia; Bacteroidales; Prevotellaceae.